GUGCGAUAGUCUGAGUAGUGCAUGGAUCGGGAAGCGGGACGUCCCUCAUCAUGGGUGGAAGCUCGCACGUUGUAGUAGCCGUUUGUCGGGUCCUGCAAAAGACACAUGUUUAGUGUAGCUAAUACGUGAACACUCGGUUAAUGACUCACGGAGUACAUGGCCUUCACCAUGCGUGUGGCAGUGGAGACGCUCCCCGAGUCUUCCUCCAGGCUGUGGGUCUCUUUGUUUAUGGUCUCUACCUUGAUAUCUGGCUUGCCCAGCGUGACCCCUCGACGACCUGAAGAGUAAACAUCUGAUCCAUCACCGCCUGAGCAUGCUUUUUGAAGUGUUUGUGGCUAUUAUUGAUGUUCAUAAAUAUGGCUAAAUAUACCCUUGGAUUUUGUGAGACACUUUUAUUUCUUAAAGACUUCUUAAAGAC
Carassius auratus (goldfish) is the source of this 418-nucleotide long non-coding RNA. RefSeq lists it as uncharacterized. The transcript is spliced from 2 exons. NCBI's taxonomy places the organism in Eukaryota, Metazoa, Chordata, Actinopteri, Cypriniformes, Cyprinidae. The record is from RefSeq and is a predicted model, not a curated record.